AAACUCUAAAAGACUUUAUUGGCUCACGAGGCCCGGCAGACAGGAGUGGACAGCCAUCCUUUAAGUACAGCCGGUGGACUGCACGGGGGACGCUCGUGAAAGGACGAGGCAAAGGAAACUCUGUGGUACGAAUGGACGGCUGGAGAGGUAGGCAUUAGUACUCCAUAGGCGACACAUGUACCCCUUCGUCUCUAGACUACUGUUGUGGGUUGUCCCAAAGGUCCCUAGAACGCUAAGAUGCUAUGUGGCCCUAUCGUCAAUUCCCUGGGCAGUGGUUCUCAACCUUCCUAAUGUUACAGUCCUAUAACACCGUUCCUCUAGUUGUAAAAUUCUUUUGUUACUUCGAAACUGAUUUUGCUACUGUUGUGAAUCCUAAUGUAAAUAAAUGUCUGGUAUUCCCGAUGGACUUAAAGGGGUCAUGACCUACAGGCUAAGAACCGCCUCUCUAGGGCAUACAGUAGUGUCCCGUCCCCCCCCCCCCCCAGGUGAGGACGGAACCCAGGGCCUUGCGCUUGCUAAGCAAGCGCUCUACCACUCAACCCCCAGUGGUUCUUCUUGACCUGUGAAUAUAUGUUCUUGUAUUUGGUUCUCUCAACAAAGCCCUGCUACGACACCCUGACUGACCUGAAACUCCUUAUUGUAGACCAGGCUGGCAUGGAAAUCAGAAAUCCACGUACCUCUGCCACGUGCCUUGCCAGGGUCAAAUGAGUGUGCCACUAACUAAGCCUCGCUUUUUCUCCCCCACAUUUUAAAAUUUUAGUUCUAUUCCAAUAGCUGUAGCCCACAUAACAAAAAAUUCGUUGGGCUUCUUGGUCAUUUUAAACAUGUAUUAGAACCAAAAAUUUUGAGAACCACUACCUCCAAACGUUAAGAAUGCUAGAUUUGUCUUAAAAAAAAAAAAAAAAAAAAGACAAAAAGACAAAAAAAAAAAAACAAGCAAACAAACAAA
This 949-nucleotide long non-coding RNA is filed under the name Rattus norvegicus (Norway rat). Its description in RNAcentral is "long non-coding RNA NONRATT017148". Lineage: Eukaryota; Metazoa; Chordata; Mammalia; Rodentia; Muridae. The record is from RNAcentral.